UACGGAGGGUGCAAGCGUUAUCCGGAUUCACUGGGUUUAAAGGGAGCGCAGGCGGAUUGGUAAGUCAGUGGUGAAAGGCUUAAGCUUAACUUGGGAACUGCCAUUGAUACUAUCAGUCUUGAAUGUUGUUGAGGUUUGCGGAAUGGGUCAUGUAGCGGUGAAAUGCAUAGAUGUGACCCGGAACACCUAUUGCGAAGGCAGCAGGCUAAACAAAUAUUGACGCUGAGGCUCGAAAGCGUGGGGAUCAAACAGG
This 253-nucleotide ribosomal RNA is filed under the name uncultured bacterium. RNAcentral's name for it is "partial 16S ribosomal RNA". It matches the Rfam family "Bacterial small subunit ribosomal RNA", at positions 524 to 776 of the family's 1533-position model. The record is from RNAcentral.